RNAcentral lists this ribosomal RNA (301 nucleotides) under uncultured bacterium. RNAcentral describes it as "partial 16S ribosomal RNA". It matches the Rfam family "Bacterial small subunit ribosomal RNA", at positions 509 to 807 of the family's 1533-position model. The record is from RNAcentral.
CAGUCGCCGCGGUAAUACGAAGGGGGCUAGCGUUGUUCGGAUUUACUGGGCGUAAAGGGCGCGUAGGCGGGCGAUUAAGUCAGAGGUGAAAUCCCAAGGCUCAACCUUGGAACUGCCUUUGAUACUGGUUGUCUUGAGUCCGGGAGAGGUGAGUGGAACUGCGAGUGUAGAGGUGAAAUUCGUAGAUAUUCGCAAGAACACCAGUGGCGAAGGCGGCUCACUGGCCCGGAACUGACGCUGAGGCGCGAAAGCGUGGGGAGCAAACAGGAUUAGAUACCCCAGUAGUCCCUGUCUCUUAUAC